This 710-nucleotide ribosomal RNA is filed under the name uncultured bacterium. RNAcentral's name for it is "bacterial SSU rRNA". It matches the Rfam family "Bacterial small subunit ribosomal RNA", at positions 125 to 851 of the family's 1533-position model. The record is from RNAcentral.
CCUGCCUCAAAGAGGGGGACAACAGUUGGAAACGACUGCUAAUACCGCAUAAGCCCACGGGUCGGCAUCGACCAGAGGGAAAAGGAGCAAUCCGCUUUGAGAUGGCCUCGCGUCCGAUUAGCUAGUUGGUGAGGUAAUGGCCCACCAAGGCGACGAUCGGUAGCCGGACUGAGAGGUUGAACGGCCACAUUGGGACUGAGACACGGCCCAGACUCCUACGGGAGGCAGCAGUGGGGAAUAUUGCACAAUGGGGGAAACCCUGAUGCAGCGACGCCGCGUGGAGGAAGAAGGUCUUCGGAUUGUAAACUCCUGUUGUUGAGGAAGAUAAUGACGGUACUCAACAAGGAAGUGACGGCUAACUACGUGCCAGCAGCCGCGGUAAAACGUAGGUCACAAGCGUUGUCCGGAAUUACUGGGUGUAAAGGGAGCGCAGGCGGGAAGACAAGUUGGAAGUGAAAUCCAUGGGCUCAACCCAUGAACUGCUUUCAAAACUGUUUUUCUUGAGUAGUGCAGAGGUAGGCGGAAUUCCCGGUGUAGCGGUGGAAUGCGUAGAUAUCGGGAGGAACACCAGUGGCGAAGGCGGCCUACUGGGCACCAACUGACGCUGAGGCUCGAAAGUGUGGGUAGCAAACAGGAUUAGAUACCCUGGUAGUCCACACCGUAAACGAUGAUUAAUAGGUGUUGGAGGAUUGACCCCUUCAGUGCCGCAG